This is a non-coding RNA of Paramuricea clavata, 772 nucleotides long. Lineage: Eukaryota; Metazoa; Cnidaria; Anthozoa; Malacalcyonacea; Plexauridae. The record is from the annotation of a GenBank genome assembly.
CAAGGAAACUGCAACAAUAUUAAACAAAAAAGUCAGAUAUAUGUUCUGUCUGUUAUCGUCCACUGCAUUAAACGCGACUGCAAUUUCACGAUCGUUUUCUCGACCGGAAAACAGACAAACGGUAUUUUAAUUAAUACACUUUCUCAUUCGGGAAGUGUAACAAAGUUUUAUGCCAACAUAGGCUUUAUUCCAAGAUUUAUGUCUCACAACUGGAAAUGCUCUAAUCCUCUAUGCUUAAUUGGUUACUUCACCAAGCAAACGAUUUGGAUAGACAAAGAAUUCGGCAAAUACUGGGUCUCUUAAAAAACACUUAAAACUGAGUGAAAAAAAAAAAAAAAUAAAAAAAAAAAAUUGCCGAGAUAGAGCUUUGUUUGUCGCGUUACCAACGCUCCUAUUGAGAAGUUGUAACAUAGAAGCUUUGUGGGGAAGCUGCUGGUUAAUUGUCUUGGCCCCAUUCAGGUUUCCUGUAUUGCAGGUUUUUCCUGGCCUCCCUGACUAUCCAGCUGUAGUAUAAGCGAUGGUAAUUCUCAAACAUGUACAAGCUUACUAUCAUCUGGCAAAAGCUGUUCUCUAUAUGAAUACAGCUGUUGUAGGAGUGGGAUUGUUCGUCUAUGGGGAAUACACUCAAGUGUCAGAUACACUUUAUUGUAUUUGUGGGGUUGAAGUGCUCCCAAAGGUCACCUUCAUGCCCAUAGACUCAUUCAAUGUAAAUAUAAUCGGCCGAGUUAUAGGAACUGUCCAAGGGACCCUUACCCCUUGGUUCAGGUUAAUA